This 483-nucleotide ribosomal RNA is filed under the name uncultured bacterium. RNAcentral describes it as "bacterial SSU rRNA". It matches the Rfam family "Bacterial small subunit ribosomal RNA", at positions 328 to 803 of the family's 1533-position model. The record is from RNAcentral.
GAAUUCAACUCCUACGGGAGGCAGCAGUGGGGAAUAUUGGACAAUGGGCGAAAGCCUGAUCCAGCCAUGCCGCGUGUGUGAAGAAGGUCUUCGGAUUGUAAAGCACUUUAAGUUGGGAGGAAGGGUUGUAGAUUAAUACUCUGCAAUUUUGACGUUACCGACAGAAUAAGCACCGGCUAACUCUGUGCCAGCAGCCGCGGUAAUACAGAGGGUGCAAGCGUUAAUCGGAAUUACUGGGCGUAAAGCGCGCGUAGGUGGUUUGUUAAGUUGGAUGUGAAAUCCCCGGGCUCAACCUGGGAACUGCAUCCAAAACUGGCACGCUAGAGUAUGGUAGAGGGUGGUGGAAUUUCCUGUGUAGCGGUGAAAUGCGUAGAUAUAGGAAGGAACGCCAGUGGCGAAGGCGACCACCUGGACUGAUACUGACACUGAGGUGCGAAAGCGUGGGGAGCAAACAGGAUUAGAAACCCGGGCAGUCCAGGCGUU